Molecule: long non-coding RNA, 458 nt
Organism: Schistocerca gregaria
Lineage: Eukaryota; Metazoa; Arthropoda; Insecta; Orthoptera; Acrididae
Exons: 3
Source: RefSeq, a predicted model, not a curated record
UCUCAUCAGAUGGCAGUGUGCAUUUGGAUGGUGCUUUAGCAGACUUUACGCUGGCAGUAUUUUCACUGCUGCAUUCCACAGCAGAAUGCGAGGGAGUAUUCAGUGUUUAAGAUGCUCGAGCCAGUUUGUGGGGAAUGGAUCAGUAGAGUUGUAACCAGCAGAGAGCAAGGGGCAGUCCUCAUUUGGCCACUGACCUGAGAAUAUGACAAGAGGAUCCAGCCUGCUGUGCCCUCGCCUGUGUACCAACAGAAGACAAUGCUCUCUGAGCCUUGGAUCAGGAUGUUGCCUGACAUCCUCGCAACAAUAACAGAUGUCCACACCAUCACAUUGAGUAUGGCGACACAAAAGCUACUGUUGAAAUGGAGGCAUGCAGUCAACAGCUGGAGGCUGCCACAUGAGGGAAACUCCAUCACAUUCACUCUCCAACCAGUAAUGAUUGUAAACAAGCCUAAAUAAAG